GUCCCGGUCCCAUCACGGCUCCGUCACGCCCUGGCUGUGUCCCAGCCCGGCCACGUCACGGUCCCGGCUGCCCCAGGGCUGGGGGGGGGUUGGGGCUAAUUAGGGGCUCGUUAGCACUCGGGGGCUCGUUAGGCAGCGGGAGCCCAGCCCGGGGAGGGGAACAGCAGCGCCGCUGCCAAAUGGCUGCCCCACGUGACGGCGGCCAUUUUAGGGUUGAGCUAACGAAGGCGACUCGUUAGGGGCCCCCCGUGGGGGGGGGUCCGGUGUGCAGAGCACACGGGUGUGCGUGUGACUGGGGAGCCGUGCGCGAGUCACACGGGUCCGUGGGCGAGGCGUGACGGGCCACACGCGUGGUGCAGGGUGGGGCCGGGGGCGAGUCACGCAGCUCUGGAAGCCGCGAAGGGCCGUGUGCAAGGCGUGAGGGCCCGUGUGCGAGGAGUGAGGGCCCGUGUGCGAGGCGUGAAGGUCCGUGUGCGAGGAGUGAGGGCCCGUGUGCGAGGCGUGAAGGUCCGUGUGCGAGGAGUGAGGGCCCGUGUGCGAGGCGUGAGGGUCCGUGUGUGUUGUGAGGGUCCGGGUGCGAGGCACAAAGGUCCGUGGGGCGCACGGGGUCCGUGUCGGAAGCGUGCAGGUCCAUGUGUGAGGGUCCAUGUGCGAUCCGUGGGUCACAGGUCCAUGUGUGAGGCGUGAGGGCCCAUGUACGCGGGUCCGUGAGUGAGACACGGAGGCCCGUGGGUCGCAGGGGUCCGUGUGCGAGGCGUGCAGGUCCGUGUGCAAGCUGUGGGUCACAGGCAUCCAUGUGUGAGGCAUGUGCAAAGCAUGAAAGUCCACAUGCAAGGCAUGAAGGUCCGUGGGGGGGGGUCUCACAGAUCCGUGUGUGAGGGUCCGUGUGUGAGGCGUGUGAGUCCACAUACGAGAGUCCAUGUGCGAUCCGUGGGUCACGGAUUCGUAUGCGAGGGUCCAUGUGCGAUCUGUGGGUCACAGGUCCAUGUGUGAGGCAUGAAUGCCUGUGUAUGAUGGUCCGUGUGCGAUCCGUGGGUCAUAGAUCCGUGUGCGAGGGUCCGUGUGUGAUCCGUGGGUCAUGGAUCCGUGUGCGAAGGUCUGUGUGUGAUCCGUGGGUCACGGGUCUGCAUGCGAGGCGUGACGGCACGUGGGUCGCACGAAUCCGUGCACGAGGCUUCGGCGAGGCGCGCGUCCAGGUUGGCCCUACGGACACGGAAACCCGCGGCCGCACAAACACCCCUUUUUGCGGCUUUUCGCAGUAUUUAACCCUUCCCCUGCCGCCCGGCUCCGGGGCCCUGCUGCGGCGCAGCGAAUCGGGGCGGCUUUUGAGCAGGGUUUUGCCGCAUUCGCGCACCCGCCCCCAGCACCGCCGCAGCACCGCGCUGCAGAAACCCCAGUUCCUGCGGGGCGUUUUUAAGGAGGAAAAGCAAGGACUAUUUUGUUUUCCGGGCCGGCCUCGCCCCGCGCGGAAGCAGCCGGCGGCCGCAGCACCGCCGCAGUUAUAAGGCGCCGCAGGGCCGGAGCGGCCCAGAGCCGCAGGGAGCAGCCAGGGAGGCAGCGCAGGGGCUCGGCAGGGCCGGGGGCUGGCUAGCGUCUUCCGAGCAGAAACAGCCCCCCAAAAAAACAACUAAAAUACAAAUUAUAGCUUAAAAAAUCUUAAAAAAAGAAAUUAGACCUAACUAGGGUUCGCUCUUAAAAAAAAAAAAAAGGCGAUUAAAUGCCUUUAGCGGAGGAAAUGCGAAGAUUUUUAACGCGAAGAUUUAAAAAAAACAUGCGAGGCAAUUGGAAGAGAAGAGACGAAGGACGAAAGCGGGAGCCGCUAGGUUCGGGAGGGUGAGCAGAGGUUUGGGUAAAGGAUGGAAGGAAACGGGGCUUUUCACAAGCCUGCGCGAGGCAGAUUUUUUUAACCGUUGGAAGAGAGGAAGCCUCCCCAAAAAAAAAAAAAGCAGUUAAGAUAAAAUAUUAAAUUUUAUUUAA
Molecule: long non-coding RNA, 1977 nt
Organism: Apteryx haastii (Great spotted kiwi)
Lineage: Eukaryota; Metazoa; Chordata; Aves; Apterygiformes; Apterygidae
Source: Ensembl